Cyprinus carpio carpio is the source of this 509-nucleotide long non-coding RNA. The record is from Ensembl. NCBI's taxonomy places the organism in Eukaryota, Metazoa, Chordata, Actinopteri, Cypriniformes, Cyprinidae.
CUGUGAAGGGUACAGUAGCUCCCGGCUGAUGGUGGCAUAGCUGUACUGAAUGCAUUGGUGAAGGUGUGGCACUAAUGGGGGAAUAAUACAAUAAUUCCCAGUGUCUUUUAACAUGUGGCUGGAUGCAUCAAUAGGUAUUUGAUGACAUAGAAACUCAAAUAAAUCCUAACAAAAGAAUUCAACAGUGGGCACAUCCUCAGUGAUGUUGACCCAAGGUCAUCGGGUGUUUUGGGUCUCUGGAACAUCAGACACCUUUUCUUGGGCGACCCAGCUAAGGUUGAUCAAGCCUCAGUUUGUGCCCUAGCAGCACUCUCCCACAGAUCUGCUCUCUUGAUCCAAAUCCAUCUGGAGGCUUUCUCUGCUGCCUCUAUGCUGUUACUGAUGGCCCUCCUCUUCUUUUAACCUGUGAUGCCGAAUACAGUAAAAGCCAUACAGAGAGACUGUCCUGCAAAGCCUCUGCACCCUACCUCCACAGAGAGCAUUGUUUUCUGGAGCCUGGCAUUAAACAC